GUACGCCUACGGGAGGCAGCAGUGGGGAAUAUUGGGCAAUGGGCGCAAGCCUGACCCAGCAACGCCGCGUGAAGGAAGAAGGCUUUCGGGUUGUAAACUUCUUUUCUCAUGGACGAAGCAAGUGACGGUACCUGAGGAAUAAGCCACGGCUAACUACGUGCCAGCAGCCGCGGUAAUACGUAGGUGGCAAGCGUUAUCCGGAUUUACUGGGUGUAAAGGGCGUGUAGGCGGGAAAGCAAGUCAGAUGUGACUACCA
Molecule: ribosomal RNA, 256 nt
Filed under: uncultured bacterium
Lineage: Bacteria
Description: partial 16S ribosomal RNA
Rfam family: Bacterial small subunit ribosomal RNA
Source: RNAcentral